AGUGCGUACUAGGUUCUUCGGCUUUUCGUCGGUUUUCUUGUUGUGGCCUUUAUUGGUGGCGGCAAGUGGCUGACAAUUUUACUUUGAACAAAUCAGAGUGCUCAAAACAGGCGUUUCGCUUGUAUGUUUUUGCAUGGAAUAAUAGAAUAUGACUUCGGUCUAGUUUUAUUGGUUUUAUUGAUCGUUGUAAUGAUUAAAAGAGACAAACGGGGGCAUUCGUAUUGUUGCGUGAGAGGUGAAAUUCUUGGACCGCAGCAAGACGACCUACAGCGAAAGCAUUUGCCAAGCUUGUCUUCAUUAAUCAAGAACGAAAGUCAGAGGAUCGAAGGUGAUCAGAUACCGCCCUAGUUCUGACCGUAAACGAUGCCAACUAGCGAUUCGCCGGUGGAAUAUUUGCCCUGGCGAGGAGCUUCCCGGAAACGAAAGUCUUCCGGUUCCGGGGGAAGUAUGGUUGCAAAGCUGAAACUUAAAGGAAUUGACGGAAGGGCACCACCAGGAGUGGAGCCUGCGGCUUAAUUUGACUCAACACGGGAAAACUCACCCGGCCCGGACACUAUAAGGAUUGACAGAUUGAUAGCUCUUUCAUGAUUUGGUGGAUGGUGGUGCAUGGCCGUUCUUAGUUCGUGGAGUGAUUUGUCUGGUUUAUUCCGAUAACGAGCGAGACUCUAGCCUACUAAAUAGUUCGCUCAUUGUUUAUUGUGUAGCGGUACUUCCUAGAGGAAUUUUCGG
RNAcentral lists this ribosomal RNA (729 nucleotides) under uncultured eukaryote. RNAcentral's name for it is "SSU rRNA". It matches the Rfam family "Eukaryotic small subunit ribosomal RNA", at positions 674 to 1426 of the family's 1831-position model. The record is from RNAcentral.